RNAcentral lists this ribosomal RNA (253 nucleotides) under uncultured bacterium. Its description in RNAcentral is "partial 16S ribosomal RNA". It matches the Rfam family "Bacterial small subunit ribosomal RNA", at positions 524 to 776 of the family's 1533-position model. The record is from RNAcentral.
UACGAAGGGGGCUAGCGUUGCUCGGAAUCACUGGGCGUAAAGCGCACGUAGGCGGCCCGCUAAGUCGAACGUGAAAUCCCUGGGCUCAACCCAGGAACUGCGUCCGAUACUGGCGGGCUUGAAUCCGGGAGAGGGAUGCAGAAUUCCAGGUGCAGCGGUGAAAUGCGUAGAUAUCUGGAGGAAUACCGGUGGCGAAGGCGGCAUCCUGGACCGACAUUGACGCUGAGGAGCGAAAGCUAGGGGAGCAAACGGG